GAGGAGUGUGUUCCACGAGGCUAGGUUUGGCUGUGGCAUGGAAUCAAAGAUCUCCUGUGCUUGAUCGAUAUGUCCAGCACGUGAAUAAGCGGCGAGCAUCGCAUUCCAGGUCACGGCAUCGCGCUCCGGCAUCGCAUCGAAAACGCGCCUGGCGAGCCCAAUGUCAUGGUUGCGUGAGUAGGCGCACAGCAUCAGAUUCCAGGAGAAGGCAUUCUUGUGCUGGAUCGCGUCAAAGAUCUCGCGCGCGCGCCUCAAAUCGCCGAGCUUGCCGUAGCGCUCAACGAGCUUGUUUAAAUCGAAGACCCUCUCGAUGGAAUCCAUCAGCGGGAAAGAAGAGAAUAGGUUAUCGUUUGCCCUAGUUUGGUUUUAGGGUUCUUGGUUCUUUGUUUGCAGGGAGAGCGAGGAGCGAUGGCGGCAGCGAUUGCGCCAGCUGAAGUGCCGAGGCCGCCACGAAUGCCGCAUGCCGGGCGAGCACCCCCGCGCUUGACUGUCGACCGUGAAAAGACAUGCCCGCUCUUGCUCAGGGUCUUCACAAAGCUUGGUGAGCAUCACAGUGUGGAAGAUUUUGCAGUGCGAGGGAAAGAGCCCAAGGAGGAAGUCCAAAUCUAUACCUGGAAGGACGCUACUCUCCGGGAGCUCACAGAGCUGGUGAAAGAGGUUGCUCCGGCUGCGCGAAAGCGAGACGCGAAACUAUCUUUUGCGUUUGUCUACCCUGAUCGCAGGGGCCGAAACAUUGUCCGAACGGUCGGAACGACAGUUGCCAGCCAUUCAAUGAGGCGAGGCCACGACGAUGACAAGAUGCUCCAGGAUCUCGGGUUUCAGAUUGGAGAUUUCCUAGACGUAGCGAUUCUUUGAGCGAGGUGGCUUUGUACGAUAUCUCAGCAGCUUGACAGAAGAGUGACAGCGACUCUGAGGAAGAUUUUCGUGUGUGAGUGUGGGCUCAGUGCGAUUUGCGGGCUUGUUUAUGGAUUCCAAGAACAUGGCAAGACCUCCGAGUGGAACAUCGAUGCGUUCUUGGGAAAGAGUAAACAAAUCUUGUGUGGGGGCAUGUUCAUUGGA
RNA transcript from Selaginella moellendorffii, 1059 nucleotides. It is a transcript of the gene named histone deacetylase complex subunit SAP18, with no coding region annotated. The record is from RefSeq and is a predicted model, not a curated record. The transcript has 8 exons. Lineage: Eukaryota; Viridiplantae; Streptophyta; Lycopodiopsida; Selaginellales; Selaginellaceae.